Molecule: ribosomal RNA, 592 nt
Filed under: Udeniomyces sp. PDD-33b-6
Lineage: Eukaryota; Fungi; Basidiomycota; Tremellomycetes; Cystofilobasidiales; Mrakiaceae
Description: eukaryotic LSU rRNA
Rfam family: Eukaryotic large subunit ribosomal RNA
Source: RNAcentral
CUAGUACGGCGAGUGAGCGGGAUGAGCUCAAAUUUAAAAUCUGGCUGCCUCAGGUGGUCCGAGUUGUAGUCUCGAGAAGUGUUUUCCGCGUUGGCCUGUGUACAAGUCCUUUGGAAUAAGGCGUCAUAGAGGGUGAGAAUCCCGUCCUUGACACAGAUCCCCAAUGCUUUGUGAUGCGCUCUCAAAGAGUCGAGUUGUUUGGGAAUGCAGCUCAAAAUGGGUGGUAAAUUCCAUCUAAAGCUAAAUAUUGGCGAGAGACCGAUAGCGAACAAGUACCGUGAGGGAAAGAUGAAAAGCACUUUGGAAAGAGAGUUAAACAGUACGUGAAAUUGUUGAAAGGGAAACGAUUGAAGUCAGUCAUGCUCGUAGGGAUUCAACCGGUUCUGCCGGCCUAUUUCCCUACUUGCAGGCCAGCAUCAGUUUUGACCGGUGGAAAAGGUUGGAGGGAAUGUGGCAUCCUCGGAUGUGUUAUAGCCCUCUUUCGCAUACAUCGGUUGGGACUGAGGAACGCAGCACGCCUUUAUGGUCGGUCUUCGGACACGUACGUGCUUAGGAUGCUGGCAUAAUGGCUUUAAACGACCCGUCUUAACAA